UACGUAGGUGGCAAGCGUUGUCCGGAUUUACUGGGCGUAAAGGGAGCGUAGGCGGAUUUUUAAGUGGGAUGUGAAAUACUCGGGCUCAACCCGAGUGCUGCAUUCCAAACUGGAAAUCUAGAGUGCAGGAGGGGAAAGUGGAAUUCCUAGUGUAGCGGUGAAAUGCGUAGAUAUUAGGAAGAACACCGGUGGCGAAGGCGACUUUCUGGACUGUAACUGACGCUGAGGCUCGAAAGCGUGGGGAGCGAACAGG
RNAcentral lists this ribosomal RNA (253 nucleotides) under uncultured bacterium. RNAcentral describes it as "partial 16S ribosomal RNA". It matches the Rfam family "Bacterial small subunit ribosomal RNA", at positions 524 to 776 of the family's 1533-position model. The record is from RNAcentral.